This 148-nucleotide ribosomal RNA is filed under the name Colletotrichum gloeosporioides. Its description in RNAcentral is "5.8S ribosomal RNA". It matches the Rfam family "5.8S ribosomal RNA", at positions 1 to 123 of the family's 154-position model. Rfam says of the family: 5.8S ribosomal RNA (5.8S rRNA) is a component of the large subunit of the eukaryotic ribosome. It is transcribed by RNA polymerase I as part of the 45S precursor that also contains 18S and 28S rRNA. Lineage: Eukaryota; Fungi; Ascomycota; Sordariomycetes; Glomerellales; Glomerellaceae. The record is from RNAcentral.
CAAAACUUUUAACAACGGAUCUCUUGGUUCUGGCAUCGAUGAAGAACGCAGCGAAAUGCGAUGAAGAACGCAGCGAAAUGCGAUAAGUAAUGUGAAUUGCAGAAUUCAGUGAAUCAUCGAAUCUUUGAACGCACAUUGCGCCCGCCAG